GUUACCCGUGUGCCAGCAGCCGUGGUAAGACAGGUGGUGCGGACGUUAAUCGGUGUUACUGGGCGUAAAGCGCGCGUAGGUGGCUAAGUAAGUCAAAUGUGAAAUCCCCGAGCUUAACUUGGGAAUUGCAUUCGAUACUGGUUGGCUAGAGUAUGGGAGAGGAUGGUAGAAUUCCAGGUGUAGCGGUGAAAUGCGUAGAGAUCUGGAGGAAUACCGAUGGCGAAGGCAGCCAUCUGGCCUAAUACUGACACUGAGGUGCGAAAGCAUGGGGAGCAAACAGGAUUAGAUACCCCGGUAGUC
RNAcentral lists this ribosomal RNA (300 nucleotides) under uncultured Lactobacillus sp. RNAcentral's name for it is "bacterial SSU rRNA". It matches the Rfam family "Bacterial small subunit ribosomal RNA", at positions 496 to 795 of the family's 1533-position model. Lineage: Bacteria; Bacillati; Bacillota; Bacilli; Lactobacillales; Lactobacillaceae. The record is from RNAcentral.